This 725-nucleotide ribosomal RNA is filed under the name Tricholoma alpinum. RNAcentral describes it as "partial small subunit ribosomal RNA". The stretch from base 422 to 686 matches the Rfam family "Bacterial small subunit ribosomal RNA", at positions 566 to 869 of the family's 1533-position model. Lineage: Eukaryota; Fungi; Basidiomycota; Agaricomycetes; Agaricales; Tricholomataceae. The record is from RNAcentral.
UCAUUUAUUAUGGUGAUUGUGAUAACAUAAGGGAAAAAAAUGAUGUUACCUUAUUAAUAGUGUCGUCCAAAACUGGUGCCAGAAGACUCGGUAAGGCCAGAGACGCAAACGUUAGUCAUCUUAAUCAGGCGUAAAGGGUGUGUAGGCUGCUUUGAAAGUUUAAAUCUUUAUAAUAGCUCUGUUACCGUACUACUAUAUUAUUUAAUUGAAUUAUUAAAAUUAAAAUUAAAAUUAUUUAAAAUAAAAAAUAAAUAAUAAUAAAUAAUAAAGAAUAAAUAUAAAUAUAAAUAUAAAUAUAAAUAUAAAUAUAAAUAUAAAUAUAACUAUAACUAUAAAUAUAAAUUAAAAAAUGUAGUAUAUAAAAUUUAUUAAACUAAACACUAAAUGAUAUUAAAAAUAAAAUAAAAAAUAAAAUAAUAUCCGUGUAUCAGUUAAGAAAUAAAUGAAUUAAAGCUAGAAUCAAAGGGAGGAUAAGCCAAAUAAUACUUAAUGUAGGGCUAAUAUCCGCAGAUAUUAAGGGGAAUACUAAAGGCGAAAGCUUUUUAUCUAUUAUUGAUUGACGCUGAGAAACGAAGGUGAGAAUAGGAAAUAGGAUUAGAUACCCAGAUACCUCUCACUGUCAACGAUGAAUGGUGGUUAGUUAGUUUUAAAAAAAACUAGUAGCGAUGUUAACACGAUAACCAUUCCGCCUUGCGAGUACGGUUGCAAAACUGAAACCAAAAAAA